AUUGAACGCUGGCGGCAUGCCUAACACAUGCAAGUCGAACGGUAACGCGGAGAGCUUGCUCUCUGGCGACGAGUGGCGGACGGGUGAGUAACGCGUAGGAAUCUGCCUAGUAGUGGGGGACAACCUGGGGAAACCCAGGCUAAUACCGCAUACGCCCUAAGGGGGAAAGCGGGGGAUCUUCGGACCUCGCGCUAUUAGAUGAGCCUGCGUCGGAUUAGCUUGUUGGUGGGGUAAAGGCCUACCAAGGCGACGAUCCGUAGCUGGUCUGAGAGGAUGAUCAGCCACACCGGGACUGAGACACGGCCCGG
RNAcentral lists this ribosomal RNA (308 nucleotides) under uncultured bacterium. Its description in RNAcentral is "bacterial SSU rRNA". It matches the Rfam family "Bacterial small subunit ribosomal RNA", at positions 30 to 334 of the family's 1533-position model. The record is from RNAcentral.